GCUCAGAUUGAACGCUGGCGGCAGGCCUAACACAUGCAAGUCGAACGGUAACAGAAAGCAGCUUGCUGCUUUGCUGACGAGUGGCGGACGGGUGAGUAAUGUCUGGGAAACUGCCCGAUGGAGGGGGAUAACUACUGGAAACGGUAGCUAAUACCGCAUAACGUCGCAAGACCAAAGAGGGGGACCUUCGGGCCUCUUGCCAUCGGAUGUGCCCAGAUGGGAUUAGCUAGUAGGUGGGGUAACGGCUCACCUAGGCGACGAUCCCUAGCUGGUCUGAGAGGAUGACCAGCCACACUGGAACUGAGACACGGUCCAGACUCCUACGGGAGGCAGCAGUAGGGAAUAUUGCACAAUGGGCGCAAGCCUGAUGCAGCCAUGCCGCGUGUAUGAAGAAGGCCUUCGGGUUGUAAAGUACUUUCAGCGGGGAGGAAGGGAGUAAAGUUAAUACCUUUGCUCAUUGACGUUACCCGCAGAAGAAGCACCGGCUAACUCCGUGCCAGCAGCCGCGGUAAUACGGAGGGUGCAAGCGUUGAUCGGAAUUACUGGGCGUAAAGCGCACGCAGGCGGUUUGUUAAGUCAGAUGUGAAAUCCCCGGUCUCACCCUGGGAACUGCAUCUGAUACUGGCAAGCUUGAGUCUCGUAGAGGGGGGUAGAAUUCCAGGUGUAGCGGUGAAAUGCGUAGAGAUCUGGAGGAAUACCGGUGGCGAAGGCGGCCCCCUGGACGAAGACUGACGCUCAGGUGCGAAAGCGUGGGGAGCAAACAGGAUUAGAUACCCUGGUAGUCCACGCCGUAAACGAUGUCGACUUGGAGGUUGUGCCCUUGAGGCGUGGCUUCCGGAGCUAACGCGUUAAGUCGACCGCCUGGGGAGUACGGCCGCAAGGUUAAAACUCAAAUGAAUUGACGGGGGCCCGCACAAGCGGUGGAGCAUGUGGUUUAAUUCGAUGCAACGCGAAGAACCUUACCUGGUCUUGACAUCCACGGAAGUUUUCAGAGAUGAGAAUGUGCCUUCGGGAACCGUGAGACAGGUGCUGCAUGGCUGUCGUCAGCUCGUGUUGUGAAAUGUUGGGUUAAGUCCCGCAACGAGCGCAACCCUUAUCCUUUGUUGCCAGCGGUCCGGCCGGGAACUCAAAGGAGACUGCCAGUGAUAAACUGGAGGAAGGUGGGGAUGACGUCAAGUCAUCAUGGCCCUUACGACCAGGGCUACACACGUGCUACAAUGGCGCAUACAAAGAGAAGCGACCUCGCGAGAGCAAGCGGACCUCAUAAAGUGCGUCGUAGUCCGGAUUGGAGUCUGCAACUCGACUCCAUGAAGUCGGAAUCGCUAGUAAUCGUGGAUCAGAAUGCCACGGUGAAUACGUUCCCGGGCCUUGUACACACCGCCCGUCACACCAUGGGAGUGGGUUGCAAAAGAAGUAGGUAGCUUAACCUUCGGGAGGGCGCUUACCACUUUGUGAUUCA
Molecule: ribosomal RNA, 1459 nt
Filed under: uncultured organism
Description: SSU rRNA
Rfam family: Bacterial small subunit ribosomal RNA
Source: RNAcentral